GACACUGUGUGUUGUUGGGUAGGGGAGCGUUCUGUAAGCCUGCGAAGGUGGCCUGUGAGGGUUGCUGGAGGUAUCAGAAGUGCGAAUGCUGACAUAAGUAACGAUAAUGCGGGUGAAAAACCCGCACGCCGGAAGACCAAGGGUUCCUGUCCAACGUUAAUCGGGGCAGGGUGAGUCGACCCCUAAGGCGAGGCCGAAAGGCGUAGUCGAUGGGAAACAGGUUAAUAUUCCUGUACCUGGUGUUACUGCGAAGGGGGGACGGAGAAGGCUAUGUUGGCCGGGCGACGGUUGUCCCGGUUUAAGCGUGCAGGUGUGUGUUCCAGGAAAAUCCGGUUCACUUUAACACUGAGGCGUGACGACGAGGCACUACGGUGCUGAAGCAACAAAUGCCCUGCUUCCAGGAAAAGCCUCUAAGCCUCAGGUAACAUCAGAUCGUACCCGAAACCGACACAGGUGGUCAGGUAGAGAAUACCAAGGCGCUUGAGAGAACCCGGGUGAAGGAACUAGGCAAAAUGGUGCCGUAACUUCGGGAGAAGGCACGCUGACACGUAGGUGAAGCGGUUUACCCGUGAAGCUGAAGUCAGUCGAAGAUACCAGCUGGCUGCAACUGUUUAUUAAAAACACAGCACUGUGCAAACACGAAAGUGGACGUAUACGGUGUGACGCCUGCCCGGUGCCGGAAGGUUAAUUGAUGGGGUCAGCGCAAGCGAAGCUCCUGAUCGAAGCCCCGGUAAACGGCGGCCGUAACUAUAACGGUCCUAAGGUAGCGAAAUUCCUUGUCGGGUAAGUUCCGACCUGCACGAAUGGCGUAAUGAUGGCCAGGCUGUCUCCACCCGGGACUCAGUGAAAUUGAACUCGCUGUGAAGAUGCAGUGUACCCGCGGCAAGACGGAAAGACCCCGUGAACCUUUACUAUAGCUUGACACUGAACACUGGUCCUUGAUGUGCAGGAUAGGUGGGAGGCUUUGAAGUGUGGACGCCAGUCUGCAUGGAGCCGUCCUUGAAAUACCACCCUUUAAUGGCUGGUGUUCUAACGUAGACCCGUGAACCGGGUUGCGGACAGUGUCUGGUGGGUAGUUUGACUGGGGCGGUCUCCUCCUAAAGCGUAACGGAGGAGCACGAAGGUUGGCUAAUCCUGGUCGGACAUCAGGAGGUUAGUGCAAUGGCAUAAGCCAGCUUGACUGCGAGCGUGACGGCGCGAGCAGGUGCGAAAGCAGGUCAUAGUGAUCCGGUGGUUCUGAAUGGAAGGGCCAUCGCUCAACGGAUAAAAGGUACUCCGGGGAUAACAGGCUGAUACCGCCCAAGAGUUCAUAUCGACGGCGGUGUUUGGCACCUCGAUGUCGGCUCAUCACAUCCUGGGGCUGAAGUAGGUCCCAAGGGUAUGGCUGUUCGCCAUUUAAAGUGGUACGCGAGCUGGGUUUAGAACGUCGUGAGACAGUUCGGUCCCUAUCUGCCGUGGGCGCUGGAGAACUGAGGGGGGCUGCUCCUAGUACGAGAGGACCGGAGUGGACGCAUCACUGGUGUUCGGGUUGUCAUGCCAAUGGCACUGCCCGGUAGCUAAAUGCGGAAGAGAUAAGUGCUGAAAGCAUCUAAGCACGAAACUUGCCCCGAGAUGAGUUCUCCCUGAGACUACAAGUCUCCUGAAGGAACGUUGAAGACGACGACGUUGAUAGGCCGGGUGUGUAAGCGCAGCGAUGCGUUGAGCUAACCGGUACUAAUGAACCGUGAGGCUUAACCUU
Molecule: ribosomal RNA, 1738 nt
Filed under: Salmonella enterica subsp. arizonae serovar 18:z4,z23:-
Lineage: Bacteria; Pseudomonadati; Pseudomonadota; Gammaproteobacteria; Enterobacterales; Enterobacteriaceae
Description: bacterial LSU rRNA
Rfam family: Bacterial large subunit ribosomal RNA
Source: RNAcentral